This 428-nucleotide ribosomal RNA is filed under the name uncultured bacterium. Its description in RNAcentral is "bacterial SSU rRNA". It matches the Rfam family "Bacterial small subunit ribosomal RNA", at positions 355 to 775 of the family's 1533-position model. The record is from RNAcentral.
UGGGGAAUAUUGGACAAUGGGGGCAACCCUGAUCCAGCAAUGCCGCGUGUGUGAAGAAGGCCUUCGGGUUGUAAAGCACUUUUAUCGGGAACGAAACAUUGUCGGCCAAUACCCGGCAAGACUGACGGUACCCGAGGAAUAAGCACCGGCUAACUCCGUGCCAGCAGCCGCGGUAAUACGGAGGGUGCAAGCGUUAAUCGGAAUUACUGGGCGUAAAGCGUGCGCAGGCGGUUUGUUAAGUCUGCUGUGAAAUCCCCGAGCUCAACUUGGGAAUUGCAGUGGAUACUGGCAAGCUGGAGUACGGUAGAGGAAGGUGGAAUUCCCGGUGUAGCAGUGAAAUGCGUAGAGAUCGGGAGGAACACCAGUGGCGAAGGCGGCCUUCUGGACCAGUACUGACGCUCAUGCACGAAAGCGUGGGGAGCAAACAG